Molecule: long non-coding RNA, 1121 nt
Organism: Hipposideros armiger (great roundleaf bat)
Lineage: Eukaryota; Metazoa; Chordata; Mammalia; Chiroptera; Hipposideridae
Exons: 3
Source: RefSeq, a predicted model, not a curated record
AUCAUCAAGGAAGGAGUCUAGCUGUAAAGGAUACCUCCCUUCCUCUGAUGAGAGUGACAACUGGGUGGCUGGCAUCGGAGGGCAGCCGGCUCUCCUUUGGCAAACAAACACCCACUCUGGUUAGGAGACCUAUGUGGAAUGAUGUUUUUCUCUGAUGUAACUUCAACCUUGGGAUUAAGAAAAAGCAAAAUCAGCCAAACAAAUAACAUCAAGUAAGCUGAAGGUCAAGAGAUUAAUCUCUGGAGAUGAGAGCUGAUGUACCAAAGGCACAAAGCCAUGAAGUGGCUGAGCGAGGACUCAAUCCUAGAGUAAUGCGGUGGGGACAGUGUUAUUCUUAUAAAAUCUGCCACUGAAAUUCUUGCAGGGAGAGAAUUGUUGGGAGGAUGUUUAGCUAAAUGCCUCAGGUUUGCAUCACAUCACAGAAGAAUUUGGACUUCUUAAUGUCACGGAGCAGAUGAGGUGAUUAAUAGUGGUAUGAGAGAGAAGGAGGAUACAGGAGACCCGUACAACUGUUCAGCAUGUGAUGGGCAUCCUCACCCUAAAUCAUUAUAGUCUAUUAAACUUUUGAAUGUGGUUUUGUGUUUAAUUUUUGGAGUGGACACUGAAGAGUAAAUUUUAUCUUGGAGUAAAGGUACUAAGAAUAGAGGACAGUGCUUUGAAUGGUUAUGGGAAAAUGGGAUGGGAGAUUAUCAUCCUAGGGCCAAGAUGAUGUGAAAUGAGUUCUGCUAUGAAUUCGAUUUGACAAUGAAAUGCACUGAGUCACAGUACGAAUUUUCUCUGGGUCACCAAACCACUCAGUGUUCCAGCCAGGAUUUGAACCCAUGAAGUCCAAGUCUAGAGUCAGUAUGGUAAACAGUUAUGCAAUGGAGCCUCUCCAAAAUUGUGGGAUUCUUUUGCUUUUAAGAAUUUGAAGAAUUGUAAUGCAUAACAGAACAAUUUUUGAUCCAGUAAUGAGAAGUCAGAGGUAUGUCAAAAAGAAAGUUUUCCGUUGCCAAGCGGAAUUGUGAAUAAUAUGAUGGACUUAAGGGAAUUGGGAUUAAAAAUAAGGCAAACAAGAAGUGAUUCUAGGGCCAGCCGAGUGGUACAUUGGUUAGGAGUUGGCUUGGGAUGCCAGCUCUGAG